Molecule: ribosomal RNA, 518 nt
Filed under: uncultured Glomeraceae
Lineage: Eukaryota; Fungi; Glomeromycota; Glomeromycetes; Glomerales; Glomeraceae
Description: SSU rRNA
Rfam family: Eukaryotic small subunit ribosomal RNA
Source: RNAcentral
AGCAGCCGCGGUAAUUCCAGCUCCAAUAGCGUAUAUUAAAGUUGCUGCAGUUAAAAAGCUCGUAGUUGAAUUUCGGGACUAAUAUGUUGGUCGUGCCUCGGUAUGUACUGAUAUUUUUGGUUUCUCCUUCUGACGAACCUUGAUGUCAUUAAUUUGGUGUCUUGGGGAAUCAGGACUGUUACUUUGAAAAAAUUAGUGUUUAAAGCAGGCUCACGCUUGAAUACAUUAGCAUGGAAUAAUGAAAUAGGACGUUUGAUUCUAUUUUGUUGGUUUCUAGGAUUGACGUAAUGAUUAAUAGGGAUAGUUGGGGGCAUUAGUAUUCAAUUGUCAGAGGUGAAAUUCUUGGAUUUAUUGAAGACUAACUACUGCGAAAGCAUUUGCCAAGGAUGUUUUUAUUAAUCAAGAACGAAAGUUAGGGGAUCGAAGACGAUCAGAUACCAUCGUAGUCUUAACCAUAAACUAUGCUGACUAGGGAUCGGAUGAUGUUAACUUUUUAAUGACUCAUUCGGCGCCUUACG